Molecule: unclassified non-coding RNA, 345 nt
Filed under: soil metagenome
Description: partial contains 5.8S ribosomal RNA, internal transcribed spacer 2, and large subunit ribosomal RNA
Rfam family: 5.8S ribosomal RNA (bases 1-119)
Source: RNAcentral
GAUGAAGAACGUAGUGAAAUGCGAUACGUUAUGUGAAUUGCAAAUUCAGUGAAUCAUCGAGUCUUUGAACGCACAUUGCGCCCCCUGGUAUUCCGGGGGGCAUGCCUGUCCGAGCGUCAUUGCUGCCCUCAAGCACGGCUUGUGUGUUGGGCCCCGUCCUCCGAUCCCGGGGGACGGGCCCGAAAGGCAGCGGCGGCACCGCGUCCGGUCCUCGAGCGUAUGGGGCUUUGUCACCCGCUCUGUAGGCCCGGCCGGCGCUUGCCGAUCAACCCAAAUUUUUAUCCAGGUUGACCUCGGAUCAGGUAGGGAUACCCGCUGAACUUAAGCAUAUCAAUAAGCGGAGGA